Long non-coding RNA from Gasterosteus aculeatus aculeatus (three-spined stickleback), 1360 nucleotides. Lineage: Eukaryota; Metazoa; Chordata; Actinopteri; Perciformes; Gasterosteidae. The record is from Ensembl.
CUUUAUGUUUUCUUAAAGUGUUUGCUUUCAAGAUCAAGAUGGGGUCAUAGAAAAAAACAAGUAGAGCAAAGUGUUUUAUGCACCAUGUUAAGUGGAUGAGCUCCAUCAAUACAAAUACACCGUCCACACACACACAUUUACUCUAAAGGCUCAUUUGCAUAUUGUAGAUACCUUCACUGUAACCAUAGAGACGUUACAUCAUGAUGGAACAUUUCUCAAUGUUCCAUGUUCUAUGCUCCGUUCACCACAGCAUAAGAAACACAGUCUGUUGCACAUCCAGUCAGUCAGUUUCAAACCUCGCAUCUACACACUGAAGUUUUCCGGACCUACACUUGCAGAAAGCAACCAUGUAAUGCCUCAGGAGUCUGUAGAGGGGACGAAGACGCGUUCUGCUGCACUUAACAGAGCUCAAGACCAACAGGACGCAAUCAGGACGCCACGUCAUCGGGACGCUACGUCAACGGGACGCCAUCAGGAUGCCAUCAGGACGCCAUCAGGACGCCCUCAGGACGCCAUCAGGACGCCACGUCAACGGGACGCCAUCAGGACGUCACGUCUACCCCUCAGGAGCAAAUCCAGAUCUACGCAUGACACACACACACCUACACAGAUAUCUACACACAGACACACUGACAAUUCGAUGUUCACACAGACACACUAACAAUUCGAUGUACACACAGACACAUUAGUAUUCAGAAGUACACAAAAACACACAAACAUCUGGUUCUGCACAAAGACACAUUAAUAUUUAAAUGUACACACAGACCCACUAACAAUUAGAUGUACACACAGACACAUCCUGAUGAUCCUCCUCACGUCUCUUCUCCUUGUCUGCAGACCAACAGGACGCCAUCAGGACGCCAUCAGGACGCCACACCAACAGGACGCCAUCAGGACGCCAUCAGGACGCCACGUCAACGGGACGCCAUCAGGACGCCGUCAGGACUCCAUCAAGACGUCAUGUCAACCCCUCAGGAGCAAAUCCAGAUCUACGCAUGACACACACACACACCCACACUCACACACACAGAUCUACUCAGAGACACAAUAUGUAGAUGUACACACAGACACACUAACAUUUGGUUCUAAACAAAGACACACACUAAUAUUUAGAUGUACACAAAGACAUAUUAAUAUUUAGAUGUACACACAGACACUGACAAUUCGAUGUUCACACAGACACACUAACAAUUCGAUGUACACACAUACACACUAACAAUUAGAUGUACACACAGACACACUAACAACAUUAACAUGUUAAUAACUUUUCUUCUUUUCUCUCUUCUCAGGAACUGCUUCAGAUGUUUUCUCAAUGAUUGUGUUAUUAUUAUUGUUAAAUAUGUCGUCUGUUUAUUAUUUU